This 450-nucleotide RNase P RNA is filed under the name Pseudaquabacterium terrae. RNAcentral describes it as "RNase P RNA component class A". It matches the Rfam family "Bacterial RNase P class A". Rfam says of the family: Ribonuclease P (RNase P) is a ubiquitous endoribonuclease, found in archaea, bacteria and eukarya as well as chloroplasts and mitochondria. Its best characterised activity is the generation of mature 5'-ends of tRNAs by cleaving the 5'-leader elements of precursor-tRNAs. The record is from RNAcentral. Lineage: Bacteria; Pseudomonadati; Pseudomonadota; Betaproteobacteria; Burkholderiales; Sphaerotilaceae.
GAAGCAAGCCAGACCGCCGCUGGGGCGAUCGCCGAAAGGCGGCCCUGGAGGAAGGUCCGGACUGCACAGGGCGGCGUAGCAGCUAACGGCUGUCCACCGUGAGGUGAGGAUCAGAGCAACAGAGACGAGUCGGCGCGGGGUCCCGAGCCGGGUGUUCUGCGCAGCGCCUGCGUCAGCAGGCGCCAAGGCGGCGAAAGCCGACUUGCGACGGGCGAAAGCCCGGCGGGCAGCAGCCACCCGAUGCGGGGCGAAGCCCCGCAUCGGGUGAAACGGGCAAUCUCUACGCGCAGCAACACCGAAUAGGCACACAUUGAUCCGGCCCGGGGAGUGUGCGGGUAGGUGGCACCGAGCCGGUGGGGUGACCCCCGGCCCAGACGAAUGGCGGUCACGGCGCGGUCUUCGCAAGAGGAACGCGCUGCACAGAAUCCGGCCUAUCGGCUUGCUUCACAC